GGGGUAAAACCCGUACGCGAACCCCGGUACAAAAGGCACCACCCCAAGAGAAUUAACCCGUCCAGGAACAGCGUCCGCUUUUACCCCUAAUUCAGGAACUCCCCAUCUAUGUAUAACAUCCCUCGUAGAAACUUUAACCUCAUUCUUAACACCAUAAGCCAAAACACAAGGGGACGUCACAUCUCGAUUAGGGAAUCCCCCGCUCAUCCUUACUUUUUGUUCUAACAAAUCACAGGGGAUACCGUACGAUUCCGCCCUUCUUCUUCAAACACCUCCCACUCUUAAUCGCAUAAAUGCUAUAUGGUACGGAGCUGCAAUGUUUAAGAUAAGAUGCUCCUCCGGGAUGGGCUUAGUAUGAUCAAGCUCAUACACCGUAGGCUCCCCCUCCUUAACAUAUUUAGGAUUAACAAAAACAAUGUGACCAGUCCUUUUAGGCAGAAGAGUCCGAGUUUCCCGAAGAGGACGAUUCUUCGCUGCCUGCUUCUCUGCCUCAAGCUCUUGAAGUAAUGUGUAAUAUUCCCUCGCCUGAACAUCCGGAUCGUCUUCCGGAUGAGCCCGAUGGUAAUUAAGCAUAGCCACUGCCUUAGGGCCGUAGUACCAUAGCGCUGCUAUCAUAUAAUGAUCACCAUCCUCAA
RNAcentral lists this small RNA (635 nucleotides) under Spisula solidissima (Atlantic surf clam). RNAcentral describes it as "cnRNA273". The record is from RNAcentral. Lineage: Eukaryota; Metazoa; Mollusca; Bivalvia; Venerida; Mactridae.